AAUAAUAUAAUUUAAUUCUAUUUAGUAUUAAUAUGUAGGUAAUUAAUAAAUUUUUAGGGGAAAUUUAUUAGGUGAAAUUUUAAUUUUUAAAGGAAUUUAAGAUUGAUUAUUAUUUGAGAAAUUUAAUAAUAGACUAGGAUUAGAUACCCUAUUAUUUUAAAUGUAAAUUUAUACUAGAUUAGUAAUAGUUAGGUUCUUUAAAAUUAAAGAUUUUGGCGGUUUUUUAGUCUAUUCAGAGGAACCUGUUUUGUAAUCGAUAAUCCACGAUUAAAAUAUCUUUUUUUAUUAGUUUGUAUAUCGUCGUAAAUUGGGGAUAUUUUAAAAGAAUAAUAAUAUUCGGAAAAUAUUUUUUAUUAUACAUCAGAUCAAGGUAUAGCUUAUAAAAAAGUAAUAAUGGGUUACAUUUAUUUAAAUAAGGAAAAAUUUGUUGAAAAUAAAUUAGAAUUUGGAUUUGAAAGUAAUUUUAUCGAUAUAGAUAUAAUGAUUAUAGCUCUAAAAUAUGCACAUAUCGCCCGUCGCUUUCAUUUUUAAGGUGAAAUAAGUCGUAACAAAGUAGUCUUACUGGAAAGUGGGUCUAGAUUGAUAUCAAGUUAGAGCUUGAUAUAAGCGUUUUAUUUACACUAAAAAGUUAAUUGUGUAAUUCAAUUUUUCUUGAAAAUAGAAUAUUAUUUUUAUAGAAUAAAUUUAUUGAGAUUUUAAGAAAAAUAAUUUUUUUUAAGUAAAUUAAAAGAAAGGGGUUGAUAAGUAAAUUAUGAUAGUUGAUUAGUAUUGUGAAAGAAAUUUUAAUUUUUGAUAAAGAAUAAAUUAUUUUU
RNAcentral lists this ribosomal RNA (812 nucleotides) under Oberea fuscipennis. RNAcentral's name for it is "partial 12S ribosomal RNA". The record is from RNAcentral. Lineage: Eukaryota; Metazoa; Arthropoda; Insecta; Coleoptera; Cerambycidae.